GUGCUGUGAGCUCGAUGAGUAGGGCGGGACACGUGGUAUCCUGUCUGAAUAUGGGGGGACCAUCCUCCAAGGCUAAAUACUCCUGACUGACCGAUAGUGAACCAGUACCGUGAGGGAAAGGCGAAAAGAACCCCGGCGAGGGGAGUGAAAAAGAACCUGAAACCGUGUACGUACAAGCAGUGGGAGCACAGGUUUACCUGUGUGACUGCGUACCUUUUGUAUAAUGGGUCAGCGACUUAUAUUCUGUAGCAAGGUUAACCGAAUAGGGGAGCCGGAGGGAAACCGAGUCUUAAUUGGGCGUUAAGUUGCAGGGUAUAGACCCGAAACCCGGUGAUCUAGCCAUGGGCAGGUUGAAGGUUGGGUAACACUAACUGGAGGACCGAACCGACUAAUGUUGAAAAAUUAGCGGAUGACCUGUGGCUGGGGGUGAAAGGCCAAUCAAACCGGGAGAUAGCUGGUUCUCCCCGAAAGCUAUUUAGGUAGCGCCUCGUGAAUUCAUCUCCGGGGGUAGAGCACUGUUUCGGCUAGGGGGCCAUCCCGGCUUACCAACCCGAUGCAAACUGCGAAUACCGGAGAAUGUUAUCACGGGAGACACACGGCGGGUGCUAACGUCCGUCGUGAAGAGGGAAACAACCCAGACCGCCAGCUAAGGUCCCAAAGUCAUGGUUAAGUGGGAAACGAUGUGGGAAGGCCCAGACAGCCAGGAUGUUGGCUUAGAAGCAGCCAUCAUUUAAAGAAAGCGUAAUAGCUCACUGGUCGAGUCGGCCUGCGCGGAAGAUGUAACGGGGCUAAACCAUGCACCGAAGCUGCGGCAGCGACACUGUGUGUUGUUGGGUAGGGGAGCGUUCUGUAAGCCUGUGAAGGUGUGUCGUGAGGCAUGCUGGAGGUAUCAGAAGUGCGAAUGCUGACAUAAGUAACGAUAAAGCGGGUGAAAAGCCCGCUCGCCGGAAGACCAAGGGUUCCUGUCCAACGUUAAUCGGGGCAGGGUGAGUCGACCCCUAAGGCGAGGCCGAAAGGCGUAGUCGAUGGGAAACGGGUUAAUAUUCCCGUACUUGGUGUUACUGCGAAGGGGGGACGGAGAAGGCUAUGUUGGCCGGGCGACGGUUGUCCCGGUUUAAGCGUGUAGGUGUGUGUUCCAGGUAAAUCCGGUUCACUUUAACACUGAGGCGUGACGACGAGGCACUACGGUGCUGAAGCAACAAAUGCCCUGCUUCCAGGAAAAGCCUCUAAGCAUCAGGUAACAUCAAAUCGUACCCCAAACCGACACAGGUGGUCAGGUAGAGAAUACCAAGGCGCUUGAGAGAACUCGGGUGAAGGAACUAGGCAAAAUGGUGCCGUAACUUCGGGAGAAGGCACGCUGACACGUAGGUGAAGUGAUUUACUCAUGGAGCUGAAGUCAGUCGAAGAUACCAGCUGGCUGCAACUGUUUAUUAAAAACACAGCACUGUGCAAACACGAAAGUGGACGUAUACGGUGUGACGCCUGCCCGGUGCCGGAAGGUUAAUUGAUGGGGUCAGCGCAAGCGAAGCUCCUGAUCGAAGCCCCGGUAAACGGCGGCCGUAACUAUAACGGUCCUAAGGUAGCGAAAUUCCUUGUCGGGUAAGUUCCGACCUGCACGAAUGGCGUAAUGAUGGCCAGGCUGUCUCCACCCGAGACUCAGUGAAAUUGAACUCGCUGUGAAGAUGCAGUGUACCCGCGGCAAGACGGAAAGACCCCGUGAACCUUUACUAUAGCUUGACACUGAACAUUGAGCCUUGAUGUGUAGGAUAGGUGGGAGGCUUUGAAGUGUGGACGCCAGUCUGCAUGGAGCCGACCUUGAAAUACCACCCUUUAAUGUUUGAUGUUCUAACGUGGACCCGUUACCCGGGUUGCGGACAGUGUCUGGUGGGUAGUUUGACUGGGGCGGUCUCCUCCUAAAGAGUAACGGAGGAGCACGAAGGUUGGCUAAUCCUGGUCGGACAUCAGGAGGUUAGUGCAAUGGCAUAAGCCAGCUUGACUGCGAGCGUGACGGCGCGAGCAGGUGCGAAAGCAGGUCAUAGUGAUCCGGUGGUUCUGAAUGGAAGGGCCAUCGCUCAACGGAUAAAAGGUACUCCGGGGAUAACAGGCUGAUACCGCCCAAGAGUUCAUAUCGACGGCGGUGUUUGGCACCUCGAUGUCGGCUCAUCACAUCCUGGGGCUGAAGUAGGUCCCAAGGGUAUGGCUGUUCGCCAUUUAAAGUGGUACGCGAGCUGGGUUUAGAACGUCGUGAGACAGUUCGGUCCCUAUCUGCCGUGGGCGCUGGAGAACUGAGGGGGGCUGCUCCUAGUACGAGAGGACCGGAGUGGACGCAUCACUGGUGUUCGGGUUGUCAUGCCAAUGGCACUGCCCGGUAGCUAAAUGCGGAAGAGAUAAGUGCUGAAAGCAUCUAAGCACGAAACUUGCCCCGAG
RNAcentral lists this ribosomal RNA (2427 nucleotides) under Salmonella enterica subsp. enterica serovar Enteritidis. RNAcentral's name for it is "partial 23S ribosomal RNA". It matches the Rfam family "Bacterial large subunit ribosomal RNA", at positions 394 to 2803 of the family's 2925-position model. The record is from RNAcentral. Lineage: Bacteria; Pseudomonadati; Pseudomonadota; Gammaproteobacteria; Enterobacterales; Enterobacteriaceae.